This 394-nucleotide ribosomal RNA is filed under the name Natrinema longum. Its description in RNAcentral is "bacterial SSU rRNA". It matches the Rfam family "Archaeal small subunit ribosomal RNA", at positions 1080 to 1478 of the family's 1478-position model. Lineage: Archaea; Methanobacteriati; Methanobacteriota; Halobacteria; Halobacteriales; Natrialbaceae. The record is from RNAcentral.
GUGGUGGUUGGGUACAUUAGGGAGACUGCCAGUGCCAAACUGGAGGAAGGAAUGGGCAACGGUAGGUCAGUAUGCCCCGAAUGUGCUGGGCGACACGCGGGCUACAAUGGCCACGACAGUGGGAUGCAACCCCGAGAGGGGACGCUAAUCUCCGAAACGUGGUCGUAGUUCGGAUUGAGGGCUGAAACUCGCCCUCAUGAAGCUGGAUUCGGUAGUAAUCGCGCCUCAGAAGGGCGCGGUGAAUACGUCCCUGCUCCUUGCACACACCGCCCGUCAAAGCACCCGAGUGGGGUCCGGAUGAGGCCGACGGAACGUCGGUCGAAUCUGGGCUCCGCAAGGGGGCUUAAGUCGUAACAAGGUAGCCGUAGGGGAAUCUGCGGCUGGAUCACCUCCA